ACAGAACUGUGGGGACGCAGAAGGAGAGCACGAGCCGGAAAUGGAAAAGCCGGUACAAGCGUAUAGCAGUCAUGCAGGCAAAACCGCAUGAAAAAUGUAAAGCGUUAUGUGGAUCGUACAUUAGUAGAGAAGCGUGUGAGCCAGCUGCCAAGAAAAGCCGCUAUUGCUUCAUAAGUACCCGUACCGUAAACCGACACAGGUGGAUGAGGAGAGAAUCCUAAGGCCGGCGGGAGAAGUGUUGUUAAGGAACUCGGCAAAAUGACUCCGUAACUUCGGGAGAAGGAGUGCCACAGAGAUGUGGCCGCAGAGAAAUGGCCCAAGCAACUGUUUAGCAAAAACACAGGUCUAUGCAAAACCGAAAGGUGAGGUAUAUGGGCUGACGCCUGCCCGGUGCUGGAAGGUUAAGAGGAGAGGUUAGAGCAAUCGAAGCUUUGAAUUUAAGCCCCAGUAAACGGCGGCCGUAACAAUAACGGUCCUAAGGUAGCGAAAUUCCUUGUCGGGUAAGUUCCGACCCGCACGAAAGGCGUAAUGAUUUGGGCACUGUCUCAACAACACACCCGGUGAAAUUGAAAUACCAGUGAAGAUGCUGGUUACCUGCGCCAGGACGGAAAGACCCCAUGGAGCUUUACUCCAGUUUGAUACUGGGAUUCGGUACUGUCUGUACAGGAUAGGUGGGAGGCUAGGAAAUGGUGACGCCAGUUGCCAUGGAGCCAACCUUGGGAUACCACCCUUACAGUACUGGGUUUCUAACCUGCAGCCGUAACCCGGCUGGGGGACAAUGUCUGACGGGGAGUUUGACUGGGGCGGUCGCCUCCGAAAGAGUAUCGGAGGCGCUCAAAGGUUCCCUCAGAACGGUUGGAAACCGUUCGAAGAGUGCAAAGGCAGAAGGGAGCUUGACUGCGACACCGACGGGUGGAGCAGAUACGAAAGUAGGACUUAGUGAUCCGGUGGUAUAAAGUGGGAUUGCCAUCGCUCAACGGAUAAAAGCUACCCUGGGAUAACAGGCUUAUCACUCCCAAGAGUUCACAUCGACGGAGUGGUUUGGCACCUCGAUGUCGGCUCAUCGCAUCCUGGAGCUGUAGCAGGUUCCAAGGGUUGGGCUGUUCGCCCAUUAAAGCGGUACGCGAGCUGGGUUCAGAACGUCGUGAGACAGUUCGGUCCCUAUCCGGCGUGGGCGUAGGAUAUUUGAGAGGAGCUGUCCUUAGUACGAGAGGACCGGGAUGGACAAACCUCUGGUGUAUCUGUUGUUUUACCAAAGGCAUGGCAGAGUAGCCAAGUUUGGCAGGGAUAAACGCUGAAGGCAUCUAAGCGUGAAGCCCCCCUCAAGAUAAGAUAUCCCAUCUUCGGAGUAAGACCCCUUGAAGACUACAAGGUUGAUAGGCUUUGUGUGUAAGUGCGGUAACGCACUCAGCUGAGAAGUACUAAUAGGUCGAGGACUUA
This 1440-nucleotide ribosomal RNA is filed under the name metagenome. RNAcentral describes it as "bacterial LSU rRNA". It matches the Rfam family "Bacterial large subunit ribosomal RNA", at positions 1458 to 2925 of the family's 2925-position model. The record is from RNAcentral.